RNAcentral lists this ribosomal RNA (412 nucleotides) under uncultured bacterium. RNAcentral describes it as "bacterial SSU rRNA". It matches the Rfam family "Bacterial small subunit ribosomal RNA", at positions 505 to 916 of the family's 1533-position model. The record is from RNAcentral.
GUGCCAGCCGCCGCGGUAAUACGGAGGGUGCAAGCGUUAAUCGGAAUUACUGGGCGUAAAGCGCACGCAGGCGGUCUGUUAAGUCAGAUGUGAAAUCCCCGGGCUCAACCCGGGAACUGCAUUUGAAACUGGCAGGCUUGAGUCUCGUAGAGGGGGGUAGAAUUCCAGGUGUAGCGGUGAAAUGCGUAGAGAUCUGGAGGAAUACCGGUGGCGAAGGCGGCCCCCUGGACGAAGACUGACGCUCAGGUGCGAAAGCGUGGGGAGCAAACAGGAUUAGAUACCCUGGUAGUCCACGCCGUAAACGAUGUCUACUUGGAGGCUGUGGUCAUGAACCGUGGCUUCCGGAGCUAACGCGUUAAGUAGACCGCCUGGGGAGUACGGCCGCAAGGUUAAAACUCAAAUAAAUUGACGG